Long non-coding RNA from Condylura cristata (star-nosed mole), 319 nucleotides. RefSeq lists it as uncharacterized. The record is from RefSeq and is a predicted model, not a curated record. Lineage: Eukaryota; Metazoa; Chordata; Mammalia; Eulipotyphla; Talpidae. The transcript has 3 exons.
AGCCAGGAAGAAGGAUGCAGUGCGAAUCAUUCUGUUGAAAAUUAGCUUCAUCCUGGUCACCAAAGUAGAGCCUACAUCUGGACCUUUUUGUUCACUCACCCUCUUUCCCUCCGCAGGGCGGGUGCGUCUUGGCUAACUCAGUUGCCCUGCGGGACGACGUUUGCAUCACUCCUCUGGAAUGCUGCACCUCGGCUAUCCGGUGACCUAAAGAUGAAGAUCCGCACUGUUAACCUGUGUCCCUGGGGCCGUGGCGAUCACGAGUCAAGAGAGAGCUUUCCAUUGAGAAGGCGACGGGCCACGCCGCUCGGCUGCAGCUACG